Molecule: long non-coding RNA, 910 nt
Filed under: Homo sapiens (human)
Lineage: Eukaryota; Metazoa; Chordata; Mammalia; Primates; Hominidae
Description: non-protein coding lnc-SMIM30-1:4
Source: RNAcentral
CUCGCCAUUCCUGUAAUGGCUGCUUCCUAGAAGGUAAUGUACGAACUCGUCUCCAAAGGAUACUUAGGUUGCACCAGUGUAUUUGUAAAACAGGAGCAAAUUUGGACCUUGCCGGGCCAAAAGGUCGUGUCACGUGGAACCUCUUAAUCUCAGCAUCCGGAGCUCCAGGAAGGGAAAAUUUCAAGUCAGAUAGAAUUCUAUAUAUACCAUUUCUUUGGGCCUGUUAUUUGUCAUGUGUUCAUUUUGUCAUUUGAAAAGGGAGGAAUUUUUAAUGGUUCCUUUUUGUUUCCAUGUUUAAUUUCUAGGAACCUUCAGCCCUCAAGAUUCCAACAUCAUGACCUCAGUUUCAACACAGUUGUCCUUAGUCCUCAUGUCACUGCUUUUGGUGCUGCCUGUUGUGGAAGCAGUAGAAGCCGGUGAUGCAAUCGCCCUUUUGUUAGGUGUGGUUCUCAGCAUUACAGGCAUUUGUGCCUGCUUGGGGGUAUAUGCACGAAAAAGAAAUGGACAGAUGUGACUUUGAAAGGCCUACUGAGUCAAACCUCACCCUGAAAACCUUUGCGCUUUAGAGGCUAAACCUGAGAUUUGGUGUGUGAAAGGUUCCAAGAAUCAGUAAAUAAGGGAGUUUCACAUUUUUCAUUGUUUCCAUGAAAUGGCAACAAACAUACAUUUAUAAAUUGAAAAAAAAAUGUUUUCUUUACAACAAAUAAUGCACAGAAAAAUGCAGCCUAUAAUUUGCUAGUUAGGUAGUCAAAGAAGUAAGAUGGCUGAAAUUUACAUAAGUAAUAUUUCAUAAUCUUAGAAUUCUCUCAAAGCAUGUGAAAUAGGAAGAAGGAAGUUCUUGCCCAGAAUCUUAGGAAAUCACCACUGUUCGGUUAUAAUCACUGCCUCCUGAAUCGUUGAGGAGUCUUUU